This is an RNA transcript of Glossina fuscipes, 6488 nucleotides long. It is a transcript of the gene named homeobox protein onecut, with no coding region annotated. NCBI's taxonomy places the organism in Eukaryota, Metazoa, Arthropoda, Insecta, Diptera, Glossinidae. The transcript is spliced from 7 exons. The record is from RefSeq and is a predicted model, not a curated record.
UUAUUUUUUCUGGUUCUUUCUUUUAGGUAGAUUAUCACUGAGUUUUUAAGCAUAAGUUAUAAAUUCAGUUGGAGUUUAAUACAUAUCGUGAAAAUCAUCAAAAUCUUUUGAAUUAGGAGGUUCAAAAUCCUGUUCUAUCGGGGAGUGCAUUAUCUUUGAUUCUCAAUAUACCUGAGAUAAUGUCAGAAUAUAUGAAAUAGACUAAACUAAAAUAAUAUCUAAGAAAGUUAUAAAAACGAUUUAAAGUAGAGAAGCACCUCUUUUCAAAUUAGCGUAUAAAGAGGUGAACGUUGUUGUGAAGAUUAUAGAAAGUUGUAGUGAAAAGAAAUAAUAAAACGAAGGUUCCCAGUGAAUCAGAAGAAAUAAAACUGUUUUCAGCAAACACCAAGUGGAUCGACACAUGUACAAAAAAAAAUUCUUCUAAAACAACCCUUUUCUACACAGUUCUAGCUUUUAAAAUAAUCACCUUUAAAUGCUCAACAAUUUCACUUAUACAAACAUUGGCCAAAAUAUGGAACCAAUAAACGACAUUAUAGACCAACAAUCACUACAGCGACAGUUGGUGGAAGAUAGCAGCAACGACUUAAUGGUAGACCAUCGUGUGUUGGUUGGCGGUUCAGCUUCACCGGCUUCUGUACUUUCUGCACAUGAUACAAUGGUAGAUGAAACUGAAAUAAGUAGUUCUUCGGGCGUGGUUAUGGGAAGGGGUGUGUCACAUCAAUCAGCUUUGCUAAUGAUAGGCGACAGUCCUCCAUCGCAUCAAGAUGCCGUAGAGCCUCGAAACGUAUGUAAUCAAAACUAUAGUGCAUCGCAUCCUCUGGAACAUCAGCGCUUGGUUCUUGGAAGUCCAAUACAAAUUUUGGAGACAGACACAGCUAUAAAUGGUAUUUUAGGAGGCUCCUCAAGUUCGAAUGGGUCAAAUGGACAUAUCAUUAAUGUUAAAAAAAGGAAAAAAUUAAUACUCUUAGGCACCCAUCAUCAAAAAAUUAAUAACGUUAACAAUAACAACAAUAAUCACAUUUACAACAGCGAACACAAGAGUUGCAGUCUUAAUCUUGAUGUUAUUAUGGAUGCCAUGAGUGGUACAGAACAGCAAAACUAUGGUCAACCGGAAAAUAUAACUGGAGAGAAGGUGCGUAUGCAACGACCCCUCUUGCAGCAACACAAUCAAAUGUUACAUACGCAAACGUUCGAUACUGAAGGUCAUCACUCCAGCAGCCAUCACCAUCAUGACCAUAACUUGCAGCUUAACGAACAUCAUUCACCCGACAUAUUGAGUCGUCAUUUGCAUGAGCAUGGGCGACAAAUCGAUACCGCUGUGGGUACUACGAAUAUCGAGUCACUUUCAGUUAUUGUUCAAGCGCAAGAUGACUCUCGUGACUCUGCAUCACAAAUUUUAAGUCCCGAAUUGGGCGUUGUAGUAGGUGCUGAAAAUUCUUUAGAGACGAACUCUUAUCAGACACUGUCGUGCGUAGUGAAUGAGGAACGCUUAUCGCCCGCUGCCUUUAGCCCAAAUUCUGCUUACGCGACUUUGACCCCUUUACAACCCUUGCCUCCAAUUUCCACAAUGUCUGAAAAAUUUGCUUACGGUGGUCGUAUAACAACUACUGAAGUUAGCACCCAAGGAAACACCACCAAUACUCAAAACGAAGGUAAUGAAGAAAAUAAUAAUAACAAUAAUAAUAUUGUGAGCAAUAGUACAUCAAAUGCCGGACAAUAUGAAGUCAUGCCAGCAACACAUCCUCAUGUACAACAACACAAUCAUCAGCAGCAACAACCACACUAUCACCGGCAAAAUUUAUGCUCCCUAAAUUUAGGCGGUUUAAGUGGUAGCGAGCCUUCAUCUUAUUUAACAUACGAUAAGUUACCUUCAAUGUGUAUGUCAAUAACACCCCCUCCUAACUUUACUAGUUCACCUACGCACACUCUAGCUGGAAUAGUAGUUACUUGUGAUUUGCCUGCACAUUCGCCUGUCGGUGAUUGUGGUCCGCUUUCACCUCAAUCAACAUACAGCCAAUCAACAGAUGUAAACUCGCCAUCAUCAUUAACUCCCUGCAUUUGCAGAAAUCCCCAUCAUCCUUGUGGAGACACCAGUAGUGAAAGCAGAAGCAACAGAGUAAACAAAAGCCCAGUUGAUUGCGAAAGAAGUUCAAGGCGGCAUGUUAUUUGUCUUUCACCAGUAACUGAGCAAGUUAUCGUCACCGGUUACGAAUCACCAUUUGGGUGUCAUCAGCGAGAAUUACUUGUUAAUACAAUUUCCUCAACUACAUCUUCUAAUUCAGGAGGCCGAAAUUCAACUCAUUUUCAAUUUCAUCCACACAGUCCAGCUACUAUAAGCUCUAACUCGUUGUCAGCGAGUUCACUGCACUCACCCGGUGCUACGGUGGCAACUUUAGCGCAAAUGGCUAAUAGCACAAUGACCCCUUUAUCAGCAAAUGAUGGAAAUGGCGGUUUGGUUAACGUAGCCCAGAUAUCAAUCGAUCACGAGCCUCUUUUAGUAUCAAUCCCACCUUCAUCUUCUUCGCCAUCAACACACCACCAGUUAGAGCUAGCGACAGUAAAACCGACAGGAACAACAACUUCUGCCGCGAUGACGUCUAAAAAUAACGGGACCUUAUCAACCCCACAUAUAGCUUUGGUAACCAGAAAUACUUUGGCAUUGAAUCGAAAUGUUUGUGAUGUAGUCACUUCAGAAAAUAAUCGAACGGCAAUGGAACAUAAUUUGAAUUCACAAAUCUGUCUUUCACAUUCUCCCCACGAACAUACGAAAUUAUUAUCGUACGACUGUGGAGAAACCGAUGAUAGCGGUACAAUUCGGGAAUCAGAAAUCCAAGUUCUGCAGCAGGAGCAACAGCAUUUCAAUGAUAUGCAAAAGAGCUCAAAGAUUCAUUCAAAGCAUCUGGGCACAGAAAACAACGACGACGUUUCCACUAGUGUCAACAGCACUAACUUAAACGGUGAUACCGAAGAGAUUAAUACCAAGGAACUGGCGCAGCGUAUAUCUGCCGAGUUGAAGCGUUAUAGUAUUCCGCAAGCAAUUUUUGCCCAACGCGUUUUAUGUCGUUCCCAAGGUACACUGUCUGAUUUAUUGCGCAAUCCGAAGCCAUGGUCCAAAUUGAAAUCAGGACGAGAAACAUUUAGGCGUAUGUUCAAAUGGCUACAAGAGCCAGAAUUUCAGCGAAUGUCAGCUUUGCGGAUGGCAGCAGCACAAAUUCCCCAACGUAACAACUCUUCGCUUAGCAGUGCUAUCAAUAAUCCGAUUCUAAACCACAAUCUCGUUAACAAAAGUUCAAGCGGUACCGCUAUAUCUGGUAUUGUAACCACACUAUCUCGGCGAAAAGAUGAGCCACUUCAAAUAGAACAUAUGCCACAACCAAAAAAGCCACGGUUGGUCUUUACCGAUUUGCAAAGACGUACUUUGCAAGCGAUAUUUAAAGAAACUAAACGACCUUCCAAAGAAAUGCAGGUAACUAUUGCUCGUCAAUUAGGUUUGGAACCAACUACGGUUGGAAAUUUUUUCAUGAACGCUCGUCGCCGUUCCAUGGAUAAAUGGCGAGACGAUGAUGGCGGUGGAAUUAACGUCAAAAAUUCUGCCGAUCAGCAUAAUAGUAAACAUGAUACUAACAAUGGAAAUCUAUUAAAUAAAAAUAGCAAUAAUCGCAACAAUAGAAAUAAUCAUCUAAGUCCUCAAAGUCUUCACUUACAAUUAUCGACAUCGUUAUCUCCUGGUAACCGACAUUCGUUAGAGUUGAACGAUGAUGGCGACAUGGAUUUGGAUUUGGACCAUAACGAUUUUCACUUGGGUGGUGACAACGACGAUGACCAUCACAAAUCCGAUGACAUGUUGUGACACAAUGUAGAAAGUCUGAUUUUAAAAUUGGAAUUCUAUGUAAACCAACUUCAGCUGCUGCAUGAUUAUGAAGACCGUCUGCAUAAUUUUAUUAAUAUGCAUGGUCAUGAAUUUUCCGAGCAUAUUUUGAGUAAAAAGAAAUAUAUGAGUGCUUUACACAUUCUUAAGCGACCGCUGGAAAAUAAGAGUAUGGUUGUCAAGCUCGAAAUGGCCGAAAGAAAAAAACCGGAGUAUACCAUAAAUUUAACCCCAAAGAAAAGUGUAAAAUUCGUAGGGUUUGAAAGAGCAAAUAUUCGAUUCGAACUUUAUUUCAGAAUCACGAGCCAGGCACUCAAACCUUUUAAGAUUGCACCUUAUUCGUUUGUCGUACCCACCAAAUUGCUUUUCCAAAUCUUAGUGUUAGGAAGAUUACUCCUGGUUAAAUUUUCGAAGGGCCAAGAUAUAACGUUGAUAGAGUUCGAAUUAACUUUAAAUUCAAUUAAACAUGGGCAUACAAUAUACUUGCACUUAAAAAACUUUUUAUGUCAUCAAGCAGAUCAGAUAAAGAUGAAGCAGCAUAAAAAUGUAAUAGAUUAUUCUCGGAAAAUUGUGGCCAAAAAUCCGAUAAACAGAAAAAAGGGGCUGUCCAAAUAUAUAUUGCUAUUAUCAUCAACUGGAAGUGUUUAUCACAAUUACUUUGCUGCUUCUGUUGAUAACCUAAGCAUCAGUUCACUCACACAAGCAACCUUCACCUUUAUCUUCUGUUAACUGGUGCUAACUUUUCGCUAAACCAAAAUAUUUAUAGUAAAUCACCAGCGUUUCGUGAGAAUGCAAAAAAUAAGCGCAUAAAUAAAUAUAGUCUAUAUAAGGCAUUUAAAUUGCAUGCACAUAUAAAUACAAAUGGAAAUAAUCCAAUUUCAACCGUUGUAAUUCGAUUUGAUAAAAACGAUUCAACAAUUUGGGGACUUGCAAAACACACAACUCAUGUAAGAUGAAAAAAGUAGUGCAGUGUGCGGUGAGGAAGGACCUGUAAAAACUUCCAGUAAUACCUAAUUAUCAUAUUUGUUUAUUGAGUGCAAGAAGAAGAGAUAGAAUUAAAAGGCUGCAUCAACGCGGAAAACAGGUAUCGCAUAAAAGAGAAUAUUCACUUACCUUACCCUAUCCUAAUUUUCCUGUGUAUAUCUUCUAACUAAAUCAUUGAUGUUCUGACUUUAUCCUCUCCUUAUAUUUUCGCCACCUGAAGUUGUGUUGUUAAUUUUUCUUUUUUUGCUUUUGCUAAAUUAAAUUUUACUCCAAGGGUCACACUUACUCUUAGAAACUCUUAGUGGUGAGUUUAACACAAGAACAACACUAACGGCAACUAAUAAUAACGAUGAUGCUAACAAAGUAAAUAUUAUAACAAUAAAGGAUGAAAGAAAAUGCUGCUGAAACGAAGUAAAAACCAGUCUUUAAGUUGAAGGAUAAGUGCUUUAGGUUAAGCCCUUAGUGGUAGCUAUCACCAGCGAAGGCUCUAAGGAAAUCCAUAAAAUAAAGCGACCAGCUACUCCGCUGAACCGAUCAUAAAGAGGUCUGCGAUGAUUUUAACGUUUUCUUUGGAGCUUCGGCAGUGCGAUUAUAUUGUAUAAACAAAAUAAUAAUGUAGUUGAAAUAACUGCAAAUUAGGCGAUUUCAUGAACUAAUUUCGUUUCAAGCUUUAGGUUUUCAUGUCGUGCACUUGCAAGUCAACUUCAACCUCUUUUUUGGAGAAAACUAAUGUAAAGAAAGUAAAAUUUUAUUUUUGGCAAGAUCGGCCAUCAAAUUUCCUACACCACUUGACUUGGUGUAAUUCUUCACAUACUUUUGUCAUAAAAUACGAUAAAUUGUUGUUAUCUAAAGGGUUUCUUUCGUGAAAACUCUUAUAUGAAAUACAUUUAUAUGUGAUAUCACUAUCUUGGAUUAACAGAAAUUUAGAAACGAAAUUUUCCAAAUUCAUUUCCACAUUAUUUAUAUAGCAUUUUUUUUAAUGGGGAAUUAUAAAGAGGAUAGCGCAAUCGGAACGAUUUUCAAUAGAGCUCGUCCUGCAACGAAAACAUACUAAUAUGUCCUAUUUUAACGAAACAUACCUUCGCGACUUGUAGAUCGAACGCAUUAACACGAACACAAACGUCAAAGGGAGGGUUGGACAGAUAUGUCUAAUUAGGCAGUGAUUCUGAGUCGAUUUAUGCAGGGAAAGGUGAGUCUACUUCAAAUCCUUCUGGGUGUUUGACACAUCCGCGCAAACGUAAUAUACACUUACAAGGUAUACAAUGCAAGGUAUGACAAACUGGGUGUGUGAAAGCUUAUAUAUAUUUAUUUUCACACAGCACUUCAUGUACAUCGCGAAUAUUAAAAUUUUGUAUAAUAUACGUGCCCAAUAUAAACAAUAUUUAUGUCAACUACUUUAGAUAAACAGUUACUUUUAGCAACUUAGUUUAUUAUAUAUUUUAAGUAUUAUCUAUUGACCACACGUCGAAAGAAAAUGUUAGAUAUAUUGAAGAAUUUGUUAUCCCCAGCCAACUACUGUAGAAAUUUUAUAGUUUUCGUAGUUGGGUUUUAAACAAACUAUUAGAAAUGUUUUUCUUCAUAUGUAUCCUGUUGGGAUCCAACAAUAUACGGUUCAUUUCAUUGUAUAUACGGUAUU